UACGUAGGCAGCAAGCGUUGUUCGGAAUUACUGGGCGUAAAGAGUGUGUAGGCGGUGCUCUAAGUUCGGUGUGAAAUCUCCUGGCUCAACUGGGAGGGUGCGCCGGAAACUGGGGUGCUGGAGCGCGGGAGAGGAAAGCGGAAUUCCUGGUGUAGCGGUGAAAUGCGUAGAUAUCAGGAGGAACACCGGCGGUGUAGACGGCUUUCUGGACCGUAGCUGACGCUGAGACACGAAAGCGUGGGGAGCAAACAGG
This 253-nucleotide ribosomal RNA is filed under the name uncultured bacterium. Its description in RNAcentral is "partial 16S ribosomal RNA". It matches the Rfam family "Bacterial small subunit ribosomal RNA", at positions 524 to 776 of the family's 1533-position model. The record is from RNAcentral.